UACGUAUGGUGCAAGCGUUGUCCGGAAUUACUGGGCGUAAAGAGUUCGUAGGCGGUCAAAUAAGUCAGAAGUGAAAGGCUACGGCUCAACCGUAGUAAGCUUUUGAAACUGUUUGACUUGAGUACUGGAGAGGAAAGUGGAAUUCCUAGUGUAGCGGUGAAAUGCGUAGAUAUUAGGAGGAACACCAGUGGCGAAGGCGGCUUUCUGGACAGUAACUGACGCUGAGGAACGAAAGCGUGGGGAGCAAACAGGAUUAGAUACCCUGGUAGUCCACGCCGUAAACGAUGAGAACUAGGUGUUGGUCAAAAGAUCAGUGCCGCAGCUAACGCAAUAAGUUCUCCGCCUGGGGAGUACGAUCGCAAGAUUGAA
RNAcentral lists this ribosomal RNA (369 nucleotides) under uncultured bacterium. RNAcentral's name for it is "bacterial SSU rRNA". It matches the Rfam family "Bacterial small subunit ribosomal RNA", at positions 524 to 898 of the family's 1533-position model. The record is from RNAcentral.